This 2621-nucleotide ribosomal RNA is filed under the name Salmonella enterica subsp. enterica serovar Enteritidis. Its description in RNAcentral is "partial 23S ribosomal RNA". It matches the Rfam family "Bacterial large subunit ribosomal RNA". Lineage: Bacteria; Pseudomonadati; Pseudomonadota; Gammaproteobacteria; Enterobacterales; Enterobacteriaceae. The record is from RNAcentral.
AAUCCAUAGGUUAAUGAGGCGAACCGGGGGAACUGAAACAUCUAAGUACCCCGAGGAAAAGAAAUCAACCGAGAUUCCCCCAGUAGCGGCGAGCGAACGGGGAGGAGCCCAGAGCCUGAAUCAGCAUGUGUGUUAGUGGAAGCGUCUGGAAAGGCGCGCGAUACAGGGUGACAGCCCCGUACACAAAAGCGCAUGUGCUGUGAGCUCGAUGAGUAGGGCGGGACACGUGGUAUCCUGUCUGAAUAUGGGGGGACCAUCCUCCAAGGCUAAAUACUCCUGACUGACCGAUAGUGAACCAGUACCGUGAGGGAAAGGCGAAAAGAACCCCGGCGAGGGGAGUGAAAAAGAACCUGAAACCGUGUACGUACAAGCAGUGGGAGCACCCUUUGGGUGUGACUGCGUACCUUUUGUAUAAUGGGUCAGCGACUUAUAUUCUGUAGCAAGGUUAACCGAAUAGGGGAGCCGGAGGGAAACCGAGUCUUAACCGGGCGUUAAGUUGCAGGGUAUAGACCCGAAACCCGGUGAUCUAGCCAUGGGCAGGUUGAAGGUUGGGUAACACUAACUGGAGGACCGAACCGACUAAUGUUGAAAAAUUAGCGGAUGACCUGUGGCUGGGGGUGAAAGGCCAAUCAAACCGGGAGAUAGCUGGUUCUCCCCGAAAGCUAUUUAGGUAGCGCCUCGUGAAUUCAUCUCCGGGGGUAGAGCACUGUUUCGGCUAGGGGGCCAUCCCGGCUUACCAACCCGAUGCAAACUGCGAAUACCGGAGAAUGUUAUCACGGGAGACACACGGCGGGUGCUAACGUCCGUCGUGAAGAGGGAAACAACCCAGACCGCCAGCUAAGGUCCCAAAGUCAUGGUUAAGUGGGAAACGAUGUGGGAAGGCCCAGACAGCCAGGAUGUUGGCUUAGAAGCAGCCAUCAUUUAAAGAAAGCGUAAUAGCUCACUGGUCGAGUCGGCCUGCGCGGAAGAUGUAACGGGGCUAAACCAUGCACCGAAGCUGCGGCAGCGACACUGUGUGUUGUUGGGUAGGGGAGCGUUCUGUAAGCCUGUGAAGGUGUGUCGUGAGGCAUGCUGGAGGUAUCAGAAGUGCGAAUGCUGACAUAAGUAACGAUAAAGCGGGUGAAAAGCCCGCUCGCCGGAAGACCAAGGGUUCCUGUCCAACGUUAAUCGGGGCAGGGUGAGUCGACCCCUAAGGCGAGGCCGAAAGGCGUAGUCGAUGGGAAACGGGUUAAUAUUCCCGUACUUGGUGUUACUGCGAAGGGGGGACGGAGAAGGCUAUGUUGGCCGGGCGACGGUUGUCCCGGUUUAAGCGUGUAGGUGUGUGUUCCAGGUAAAUCCGGUUCACUUUAACACUGAGGCGUGACGACGAGGCACUACGGUGCUGAAGCAACAAAUGCCCUGCUUCCAGGAAAAGCCUCUAAGCAUCAGGUAACAUCAAAUCGUACCCCAAACCGACACAGGUGGUCAGGUAGAGAAUACCAAGGCGCUUGAGAGAACUCGGGUGAAGGAACUAGGCAAAAUGGUGCCGUAACUUCGGGAGAAGGCACGCUGACACGUAGGUGAAGUGAUUUACUCAUGGAGCUGAAGUCAGUCGAAGAUACCAGCUGGCUGCAACUGUUUAUUAAAAACACAGCACUGUGCAAACACGAAAGUGGACGUAUACGGUGUGACGCCUGCCCGGUGCCGGAAGGUUAAUUGAUGGGGUCAGCGCAAGCGAAGCUCCUGAUCGAAGCCCCGGUAAACGGCGGCCGUAACUAUAACGGUCCUAAGGUAGCGAAAUUCCUUGUCGGGUAAGUUCCGACCUGCACGAAUGGCGUAAUGAUGGCCAGGCUGUCUCCACCCGAGACUCAGUGAAAUUGAACUCGCUGUGAAGAUGCAGUGUACCCGCGGCAAGACGGAAAGACCCCGUGAACCUUUACUAUAGCUUGACACUGAACAUUGAGCCUUGAUGUGUAGGAUAGGUGGGAGGCUUUGAAGUGUGGACGCCAGUCUGCAUGGAGCCGACCUUGAAAUACCACCCUUUAAUGUUUGAUGUUCUAACGUGGACCCGUUACCCGGGUUGCGGACAGUGUCUGGUGGGUAGUUUGACUGGGGCGGUCUCCUCCUAAAGAGUAACGGAGGAGCACGAAGGUUGGCUAAUCCUGGUCGGACAUCAGGAGGUUAGUGCAAUGGCAUAAGCCAGCUUGACUGCGAGCGUGACGGCGCGAGCAGGUGCGAAAGCAGGUCAUAGUGAUCCGGUGGUUCUGAAUGGAAGGGCCAUCGCUCAACGGAUAAAAGGUACUCCGGGGAUAACAGGCUGAUACCGCCCAAGAGUUCAUAUCGACGGCGGUGUUUGGCACCUCGAUGUCGGCUCAUCACAUCCUGGGGCUGAAGUAGGUCCCAAGGGUAUGGCUGUUCGCCAUUUAAAGUGGUACGCGAGCUGGGUUUAGAACGUCGUGAGACAGUUCGGUCCCUAUCUGCCGUGGGCGCUGGAGAACUGAGGGGGGCUGCUCCUAGUACGAGAGGACCGGAGUGGACGCAUCACUGGUGUUCGGGUUGUCAUGCCAAUGGCACUGCCCGGUAGCUAAAUGCGGAAGAGAUAAGUGCUGAAAGCAUCUAAGCACGAAACUUGCCCCGAGAUG